Molecule: small nuclear RNA, 112 nt
Organism: Jaculus jaculus (lesser Egyptian jerboa)
Lineage: Eukaryota; Metazoa; Chordata; Mammalia; Rodentia; Dipodidae
Source: Ensembl
UCAUGUGGCCAAAAUUAAUAAUGAGAGUGCUAAAAUUGGAAUGAUACACAGUAGAAUAGCUUGGCCCUUGUGCAAGGAUAACAUGCAAAUUCAUGAAGUGUUCCAUAUUUUU